RNAcentral lists this ribosomal RNA (255 nucleotides) under Acinetobacter johnsonii. Its description in RNAcentral is "partial 16S ribosomal RNA". It matches the Rfam family "Bacterial small subunit ribosomal RNA", at positions 330 to 576 of the family's 1533-position model. The record is from RNAcentral. Lineage: Bacteria; Pseudomonadati; Pseudomonadota; Gammaproteobacteria; Moraxellales; Moraxellaceae.
CCCAGACUCCUACGGGAGGCAGCAGUGGGGAAUAUUGGACAAUGGGCGAAAGCCUGAUCCAGCCAUGCCGCGUGUGUGAAGAAGGCCUUUUGGUUGUAAAGCACUUUAAGCGAGGAGGAGGCUACUUAGAUUAAUACUCUAGGAUAGUGGACGUUACUCGCAGAAUAAGCACCGGCUAACUCUGUGCCAGCAGCCGCGGUAAUACAGAGGGUGCGAGCGUUAAUCGGAUUUACUGGGCGUAAAGCGUGCGUAGGC